Molecule: ribosomal RNA, 402 nt
Filed under: uncultured eukaryote
Lineage: Eukaryota
Description: partial 18S ribosomal RNA
Rfam family: Eukaryotic small subunit ribosomal RNA
Source: RNAcentral
CAAUAGCGUAUAUUAAUGUUGUUGCAGUUAAAAAGCUCGUAGUUGGAUUUUUGGUUUUGGUGAGCCUAGCCCGGGUGACAUUCAUUCAUGAUGUUCUUGUGAGCUGGUGCGCAUCGGCCAUGUUUCAGGAGAAUGUUUCUGCCCUUGAUUGGGUUGGGAAUAUGUAUCCUGAUCGUUUACUUUGAAAAAAUUAGAGUGUUCAAAGCAGGCAUGUUUGCUGUGAAUACAUUAGCAUGGAAUAAUGAGAUAGGACUUCGGUUUUAUUUUGUUGGUUUCUAAAACUGAAAGUAAUGAUUGAUAGGGAUAGUUGGGGGUGCUAGUAUUCAACGGCCAGAGGUGAAAUUCUUGGAUUCGUUGAAGACUAACUUAUGCGAAAGCAUUCACCAAGGAUGUCUUCUUUAA